RNAcentral lists this ribosomal RNA (253 nucleotides) under uncultured bacterium. RNAcentral describes it as "partial 16S ribosomal RNA". It matches the Rfam family "Bacterial small subunit ribosomal RNA", at positions 524 to 776 of the family's 1533-position model. The record is from RNAcentral.
UACGUAGGGGGCUAGCGUUGUCCGGAUUUAUUGGGCGUAAAGAGCGUGUAGGCGGCCAGGUAGGUCUGCUGUGAAAACUCGAGGCUCAACCUCGAGACGUCGGCGGAAACCAUCUGGCUAGAGUCCGGAAGAGGAGAGUGGAAUUCCUGGUGUAGCGGUGAAAUGCGCAGAUAUCAGGAAGAACACCCGUGGCGAAGGCGGCUCUCUGGGACGGUACUGACGCUGAGACGCGAAAGCCAGGGGAGCAAACGGG